Molecule: long non-coding RNA, 719 nt
Filed under: Takifugu rubripes (torafugu)
Lineage: Eukaryota; Metazoa; Chordata; Actinopteri; Tetraodontiformes; Tetraodontidae
Description: lncRNA (ENSTRUG00000032793.1)
Source: RNAcentral
AUGUUUGACAUCUUUAAAUCAGAAAAAUCUUCUGCACAAAGUUCCCUACAGCAGGUUGAGAGCAGCUAACGGCUCAGUGGUGCGAAACAACGAGACCUUCAGCCAAAACUCCAGGAACCAGGAGACGUUCGUCCCUCUUCCUGUUUCUGCAUGGAGACACUUUCCCACUCCGGGUUUGGGUUUGUGGUCCUUCUUCCUGCACCACCUUUUCUGGACGAGCUGGACUCCUGGCGAGAAGAGAGCGGAACAUUUGUUGUGCAUUAGCGUCCUGACAGGAAGCUGCGGGCUGAAGGAGAGACGGCACCUGGGCGGCGGCCUGACGAUUGAAGGGCUACGCUAGGUGGACUGAAGCGUCCCACCUCCCUCCGCCGACCGCACGGCCCGGCUCAGAUGCCGCUUAUUGGAUCCAGGCUGAGUGGAUUUGGGGGAGGAGGCCCGGCUCCCCCGCCCACAAACCACAACAGAAGGGCGACUUUGGCGCUCUGGUGUCUCCAAACGGCAGCGAGCAGCAACUGCCUGAAGUUCUGCAGCCCCGCCUCCCGUGGUCACCGUCCCACCCCGACGCCGCUGCACGCCACUGGCCGCCCUCGCGUUGACCCGGGCCAGAGAUGGGCCGUCUGCGUCGACCGGCCGACACCGAUAAUCCCUCCGCUCGCUCUGAGCCGCCAGUUCCCAACAUGGAUCACAGCCUCUACUCCAACCCCUCCCUGAAGUGCUGC